GUGGGGAAUUUUGGACAAUGGGGGCAACCCUGAUCCAGCCAUGCCGCGUGCGGGAAGAAGGCCUUCGGGUCGUAAACCGCUUUUGUCAGGGAAGAAAUCCUGUGGGUUAAUACCUCGGAGGGAUGACGGUACCUGAAGAAUAAGCACCGGCUAACUACGUGCCAGCAGCCGCGGUAAUACGUAGGGUGCGAGCGUUAAUCGGAAUUACUGGGCGUAAAGCGUGCGCAGGCGGUUUUGUAAGAUCGAUGUGAAAUCCCCGGGCUCAACCUGGGAACUGCAUUGGUGACUGCAAGGCUGGAGUGCGGCAGAGGGGGAUGGAAUUCCGCGUGUAGCAGUGAAAUGCGUAGAUAUGCGGAGGAACACCGAUGGCGAAGGCAAUCCCCUGGGCCUGCACUGACGCUCAUGCACGAAAGCGUGGGGAGCAAACAGGAUUAGAAACCCUUGUAGUCC
RNAcentral lists this ribosomal RNA (450 nucleotides) under uncultured bacterium. RNAcentral describes it as "partial 16S ribosomal RNA". It matches the Rfam family "Bacterial small subunit ribosomal RNA", at positions 354 to 796 of the family's 1533-position model. The record is from RNAcentral.